RNAcentral lists this ribosomal RNA (497 nucleotides) under uncultured bacterium. Its description in RNAcentral is "partial 16S ribosomal RNA". It matches the Rfam family "Bacterial small subunit ribosomal RNA", at positions 28 to 507 of the family's 1533-position model. The record is from RNAcentral.
GAUGAACGCUGGCGGCGUGCCUAAUACAUGCAAGUCGAGCGAACAGACGAGGAGCUUGCUCCUCUGACGUUAGCGGCGGACGGGUGAGUAACACGUGGAUAACCUACCUAUAAGACUGGGAUAACUUCGGGAAACCGGAGCUAAUACCGGAUAACAUGUUGAACCGCAUGGUUCAACAGUGAAAGACGGUUUUGCUGUCACUUAUAGAUGGAUCCGCGCCGCAUUAGCUAGUUGGUAAGGUAACGGCUUACCAAAGCAACGAUGCGUAGCCGACCUGAGAGGGUGAUCGGCCACACUGGAACUGAGACACGGUCCAGACUCCUACGGGAGGCAGCAGUAGGGAAUCUUCCGCAAAGGGCGAAAGCCUGACGGAGCAACGCCGCGUGAGUGAAGAAGGUCUUCGGAUCGUAAAACUCUGUUAUUAGGGAAGAACAAAUGUGUAAGUAACUAUGCACGUCUUGACGGUACCUAAUCAGAAAGCCACGGCUAACUACGUG